This 505-nucleotide ribosomal RNA is filed under the name uncultured Geobacter sp. RNAcentral's name for it is "bacterial SSU rRNA". It matches the Rfam family "Bacterial small subunit ribosomal RNA", at positions 335 to 831 of the family's 1533-position model. Lineage: Bacteria; Pseudomonadati; Thermodesulfobacteriota; Desulfuromonadia; Geobacterales; Geobacteraceae. The record is from RNAcentral.
ACUCCUACGGGAGGCAGCAGUGGGGAAUUUUGCGCAAUGGGGGAAACCCUGACGCAGCAACGCCGCGUGAGUGAUGAAGGCCCUUGGGUCGUAAAGCUCUGACAGAGGGAAAGAAGUGCAGGGUGGCUAAUAUCCAUCUUACUUGACGGUACCCUCAAAGGAAGCACCGGCUAACUCCGUGCCAGCAGCCGCGGUAAUACGGGGGGUGCAAGCGUUGUUCGGAUUUAUUGGGCGUAAAGCGCGUGUAGGCGGUUUUAUAAGUCUGAUGUGAAAGCCCUGGGCUCAACCCGGGAAGUGCAUUGGAUACUGUAAGACUUGAAUACGGGAGAGGGCAGUGGAAUUCCUAGUGUAGGAGUGAAAUCCGUAGAUAUUGGGAGGAACACCGGUGGCGAAGGCGGCUGCCUGGACCGAUACUGACGCUGAGACGCGAAAGCGUGGGGAGCAAACAGGAUUAGAUACCCUGGUAGUCCACGCCGUAAACGAUGAGAACUAGGUGUUGCGGGUA